Molecule: ribosomal RNA, 253 nt
Filed under: uncultured bacterium
Lineage: Bacteria
Description: partial 16S ribosomal RNA
Rfam family: Bacterial small subunit ribosomal RNA
Source: RNAcentral
UACAGAGGGUGCGAGCGUUGUUCGGAAUUAUUGGGCGUAAAGGGCGCGUAGGCGGCCUGGCAAGUGGAAGGUGAAAUCCCUCGGCUUAACCGAGGAACUGCCCUCCAAACUGCUUGGCUUGAGUCCGGGAGAGGUGAGUGGAAUUCCCAGUGUAGCGGUGAAAUGCGUAGAUAUUGGGAGGAACACCAGUGGCGAAGGCGGCUCACUGGACCGGUACUGACGCUGAGGCGCGAAAGCGUGGGGAGCAAACAGG